UAGUGAUUCUUCAUUUUUCUUGAUAUUUUAACUUGUUUAACAUUUAAUAAUAAAAGUGAAUAGUUUUAUCCUAUGUCUAGUGAUUGCCAAGUGUAAGAUGUCUUCUGAUGACUGAAAUUUUGCACCUGAGUCUGACAUCGUUGAAGGACCAUUCUCGUAUCAGAUUGGAUUUUGCACCUGAGUCUGACACUGUAGAAGGACCAUUUUUGCACCAGAUUGGAUUUUGCACCUGAGUCUGACACUGUAGAAGGACCAUUUUUGCACCAGAUUGUAAGAAUUAAAAUUCUUUAUCACUUGCCUAAAUAACUUUUGUGAUUAUGUCACAAAUUGGCUCCCAAAAUUGCAUUUCUCUGUUCCAAGGACUA
Molecule: long non-coding RNA, 365 nt
Organism: Dalotia coriaria
Lineage: Eukaryota; Metazoa; Arthropoda; Insecta; Coleoptera; Staphylinidae
Exons: 4
Source: RefSeq, a predicted model, not a curated record